UGAUAGCGAAGAAGCGUGAGGUUGCUGCCGAGUAGUAGGGCCAUACGAAAUGGCAGGUUUUCCGUGGAGCGAAUGUCAAGUUAGGAAACUGGCGACAA
This 98-nucleotide non-coding RNA is filed under the name bovine gut metagenome. RNAcentral describes it as "S10-Clostridia ribosomal protein leader". It matches the Rfam family "S10-Clostridia ribosomal protein leader". The record is from RNAcentral.